CAAAAUAAAAACAGCUGUGAAGAGAGCCCGUGAAAAGGACAAGAGUCCUCCUCAUGCUUGCCUUUCAGCCCUCCAGCUUUUGGAGACACUCGGCCACUUCAGUUGCUUUCCCUCCCCCGCUUCCCUUUUCGGCUUGCCAGGGAACACGAUACCUGCCACCCGGCAUAGGCUUCCAUCCCCUGACGCCCAAGGAAACCACCCAGGUCCUGAUUAGGGCCGGCCCUCUGGCUCCGCACGGGUGUCUGUCAUUUCAGAUGGGCUCUGUGGCGGGACCAAUCACACAGAUGCGAGCCACAGGGAUGCCAGAGAGUCUAUUUUCAAGAGACUGGUCUGGGAGCAAGUCACAGACAAAACCAGAGAACACAACCCAUCGCCCCAGAACGCCACUUUUCAGCUCCCGAUGGGUUUGGCCUCGAUCCUCCCUGUUUUUGUGGAGUAUCCCUGAACACCUGCCAGGCGCUGGUCACUGAUGUUCUCCGGACACACGGACGCCAAAACGCCCCGCUCCAGUUCCAGCCCACUUUUCGCAUUUCCCAGUGCCCGCCGACCUCCGCUGUCUGUGAGUAGGCUAAACACGAACAACUUCUCAAAAGAAGUCCAACUGAAAGAAUUUUCACAGCCUGUCCUUAAUGCUGCCAAGAAUAUAUAUUACCAAUUUCCAGUGGAAGCUCAAAUGUCCCUUUGCAAUAACCUGGCCUC
Molecule: long non-coding RNA, 699 nt
Filed under: Felis catus (domestic cat)
Lineage: Eukaryota; Metazoa; Chordata; Mammalia; Carnivora; Felidae
Description: lncRNA (ENSFCAG00000045124.2)
Source: RNAcentral